This is a long non-coding RNA of Eutrema salsugineum, 1596 nucleotides long. RefSeq lists it as uncharacterized. The transcript is spliced from 3 exons. Lineage: Eukaryota; Viridiplantae; Streptophyta; Magnoliopsida; Brassicales; Brassicaceae. The record is from RefSeq and is a predicted model, not a curated record.
UCAAAGACUUCCCCGUCGAACACAAAAAUAAUUCUCUUACUCAGGAUUACCCUAACCCAGUUCUAUAUUUCCAGGGAAAAUAUGUCAAGUUCAUGAAUUAAGCCAUCGUGUUUUUCAUUCCGUAUCUCUCUUUUCAAAUUUCUCGGUUACCCUAACCCAAUUCUAUAGUUCAUUUUUCUCAAAUUUCUGGGUUUCCUAAGAAUUUCUUUUUUCAUUCUUCAAUAUCUCUUAUAAAGAGUGUUGAGCUUUUAGAUUCAGAACACUUUGUAAGUUCUAUCCGAUCUGGGCUAGUGUUUUCAUUAUAGCGUUAGAUUCGUUAGCCUUAUUUUUCUUAUGUUGAAUCUGUAGCUAUUUGGAUCACUUGAGUUAAAUCUCUGAAAUCUACAGAGAAAUUGAGUUAUACGAAUGUUUUAAUUGAAAAUCUGCAGCAGGCAAGGCAUUACAGGCUGCUCGUUUGGAGAAUUGCUUGGUUUGUCGUUCGGAUUAUAUGUCUCCAAAUUAUACAACUACUCCUGGAAAGUUAUCUGCAGCUUGAGAUUUUGAGCAUUCGCUUGGUGGACAAUAUAGUGAAUGAAUCAUUUCUUAGGAAUCUUAGGGAUGGGUUUAGGCUACAUUCUAAUGUCUUGAUCUUGUUUAAAUCACAUGUUCAUGUGAGCAUAACAAAACGGAUAUAAGAAAGUAAUACAGAAUCAUGUAAUCCACUCAAAGCAUUUCUACGGACAAGAGAGCACAAAGCAAUUUAACCGCAGGAGUGUUCUCGCAUUUAAAAGUCAGGUGGUGUUGUAAGCUCAAAUGGACGGUUACAAGGGCGUCUUGAGGUUUCUAGGGGUUUUGGUGGUCGCCAAUUCAAGAAGGUAAUGAUCCUUUCGACAUGUUAAGAAGGAGUGCUUUCCUGUAAGCACAAUAAGUCGUCGUCUUGUUAAGGAAGCUGUGAAAGAAGGGCGGCUAUCGAGGAGAGUUCUAUAGCAGUGUGAGAUAGAGUUCGAUACUCUGCCUCGGUGAAGGAUCGUGACACUGUGGGCUGUCUUUUUGCAGACCAUAAAAUGAGAUUUGAUCCAAGAGAGAUGCAGAAACCACCACUGGACCUUCUAGUGUCUUUACAUCCUGCCGAGUCGCUAUCACAGUACGCACGAAGAGUGGAAUCAGUGUCCGAAUUGAAGUGAAGACCCAUCUGCAAGGUACCCUUCAAGUAGCGGAGAAUCCUUUUUAGAAGUGAGAAAUCAGACACUGCAGGCUUGUGCAUCUUCUGACACACAUAAUUAACGGUGAAUUGAAAUGUCUGCCCGUGUGAGGUAUUGCAGCUUCCCAGCUAGGCUUCGAAAAUAUGUAGGAUCAGAGAAGUCCUGGUCUUGAUGAGGGACACGAUGCAGUUGCAAUGGCAACGGAGUGGGCAUGGGAGCACAGUCUAACAUUCAUGCAAUCGUAAGAAGAUCAGUAACGUAUUUAGACUGAUUUAAGAAGAGACCUGUAGGAGAGCCAAAUUCAAUCAGAUGUGAACUGAAUUUAUCAAACCAGGCCCUUGGGUUUUGUUUUAACCCAUAUAUGGCUGUAUGAAGUUUACAAACAUAGUGGGGAUGAGUUUUAUCUUCAAACCCU